GACGAACGCUGGCGGCGUGCUUAACACAUGCAAGUCGAACGGAAAGGCCCCUUUGGGGGUACUCGAGUGGCGAACGGGUGAGUAACACGUGAGUAACCUGCCCUUGACUUCGGAAUAACUUCAGGAAACUGGGGCUAAUACCGGAUAGGAAUCCUUGCUGCAUGGUGGGGGUUGGAAAGCUUCGGCGGUUUUGGAUGGACUCGCGGCUUAUCAGCUUGUUGGUGGGGUAGUGGCUUACCAAGGCUUUGACGGGUAGCCGGCCUGAGAGGGCGACCGGCCACAUUGGGACUGAGAUACGGCCCAGACUCCUACGGGAGGCAGCAGUGGGGAAUAUUGCACAAUGGGCGGAAGCCUGAUGCAGCAACGCCGCGUGCGGGAUGACGGCCUUCGGGUUGUAAACCGAUUUCAGCAGGGGCGAAGCUUGUGGUGACGGUACCUGCAGAAGAAGCACCGGCUAACUACGUG
RNAcentral lists this ribosomal RNA (465 nucleotides) under uncultured bacterium. RNAcentral describes it as "partial 16S ribosomal RNA". It matches the Rfam family "Bacterial small subunit ribosomal RNA", at positions 28 to 507 of the family's 1533-position model. The record is from RNAcentral.